ACGCAAGAUCAGAUGGACGGAAACCAACCACAAAUUCGCCCAACCCCAACAGCACGACUUCAAAACCGAGAUUGUAUGAAGCCCUUCAAAUCGUCAUUUCUCCAACAAGAUAAAACAUCUGGCAGAAGGAGAAUGUACUGCUUUCGUGAUUUUGGCCUGAUUCUCCGUUUAGUGGGUACAAGCUUACUCGUACAUGUUCUUCAUUCACGGAGGUAAAGGACUUUCCACUAAGGCCGCAGGUCCGAUAACAUCUUCCGUCUGUAGAAAAAGCAAUGUUUGUGCGCUUUUGGCUCGGUGUUAUUCCUCCAUUGAGAAUGAACGUGGUCUGGUUCAACGAGGAAGAUGGAACGAUGUAGUAGUCGCAAAGCCCAGAACGUGUGAAUAUGAGGAAGGCA
This is a long non-coding RNA of Tigriopus californicus, 395 nucleotides long. RefSeq lists it as uncharacterized. The record is from RefSeq and is a predicted model, not a curated record. The transcript is spliced from 3 exons. Lineage: Eukaryota; Metazoa; Arthropoda; Copepoda; Harpacticoida; Harpacticidae.